UGGGUAACCUGCCUCAAAGAGGGGAAUAGCCUCCCGAAAGAGAGAUUAAUACCGCAUAAUAUGUUUAGGUCGCAUGACUUUAACAUCAAAGGAUUUUCUUUUUAGAAAUUCCACUUUGAGAUGGACCCGCGGUGCAUUAGCUAGUUGGUGAGGUAACGGCUCACCAAGGCAACGAUGCGUAGCCGACCUGAGAGGGUGAUCGGCCACAUUGGGACUGAGACACGGUCCAGACUCUACGGGAGG
Molecule: ribosomal RNA, 243 nt
Filed under: uncultured bacterium
Lineage: Bacteria
Description: partial 16S ribosomal RNA
Rfam family: Bacterial small subunit ribosomal RNA
Source: RNAcentral